This 770-nucleotide ribosomal RNA is filed under the name uncultured bacterium. RNAcentral's name for it is "bacterial SSU rRNA". It matches the Rfam family "Bacterial small subunit ribosomal RNA", at positions 28 to 793 of the family's 1533-position model. The record is from RNAcentral.
GAUGAACGCUAGCGGCAGGCCUAAUACAUGCAAGCCGGACGGUAACUUUUGUAGCAAUACGGAAGCUAGAGUGGCGUACGGGUGCGUAACACGUAUGCAACCUACCCUUUACAGGGAGAUAGCUCGGGGGAAACCCGGAUUAAUACCCCCAUAAUAUUAUUUUGAGGCAUCUUGAGAUAAUUAAAGAUUUAUCGGUAAAGGAUGGGCAUGCGUCUGAUUAGCUAGUUGGUGAGGUAACGGCUCACCAAGGCGAUGAUCAGUAGGGGAACUGAGAGGUUGAUCCCCCACACUGGCACUGAGAUACGGGCCAGACUCCUACGGGAGGCAGCAGUAGGGAAUAUUGGUCAAUGGGUGGAAGCCUGAACCAGCCAUGCCGCGUGCAGGAAGACGGCCUUCUGGGUUGUAAACUGCUUUAUCUGGGAUAAAAUCCCUUGCGAGGGAGACUGAAGGUACCAGAUGAAUAAGCCACGGCUAACUACGUGCCAGCAGCCGCGGUAAUACGUAGGUGGCAAGCGUUGUCCGGAUUCAUUGGGUUUAAAGGGUGCGUAGGCGGCCAUUUAAGUCAGUGCUGAAAUAUCACAGCUUAACUGUGAGGGUGGCAUUGAUACUGGGUGGCUUGAGUGCUAGCGAGGCAGGCGGAAUUGACGGUGUAGCGGUGAAAUGCUUAGAUAUCGUCAAGAACACCGAUAGUGUAGACAGCUUGCCAGGGAGCAACUGACGCUGAGGCACGAAAAGUGUGGGGGAUCAAACAGGAUUAGAUACCCUGGUAG